UUCUGAAUGUUUAGUCGGGAUCUCUUUUCUUGCAACUUGAAGCCAUUGCCUUGAGUCCUACCCUCCAGAAAAGAAGCUUGCUCCCUCUUCCAUGUAACGGCCCUUGAGAUAUUUGAAGAUGGCUACCAUAUCUCCUCUCAGUCUCCUCUUUUCCAGGCUAAACAGACCCACUGACAGAGAGCUGGACUGCUGUGAAGAUGCUGGAAGGCUUU
This is a non-coding RNA of Podarcis lilfordi (Lilford's wall lizard), 212 nucleotides long. NCBI's taxonomy places the organism in Eukaryota, Metazoa, Chordata, Lepidosauria, Squamata, Lacertidae. The record is from the annotation of a GenBank genome assembly.